This 548-nucleotide ribosomal RNA is filed under the name uncultured bacterium. RNAcentral's name for it is "partial 16S ribosomal RNA". It matches the Rfam family "Bacterial small subunit ribosomal RNA", at positions 355 to 895 of the family's 1533-position model. The record is from RNAcentral.
UGGGGAAUUUUGGACAAUGGGGGAAACCCUGAUCCAGCCAUCCCGCGUGUGCGAUGAAGGCCUUCGGGUUGUAAAGCACUUUUGGCAGGAAAGAAACGUCGCGGGUUAAUACCCCGCGAAACUGACGGUACCUGCAGAAUAAGCACCGGCUAACUACGUGCCAGCAGCCGCGGUAAUACGUAGGGUGCAAGCGUUAACCGGAAUUACUGGGCGUAAAGCGUGCGCAGGCGGUUCGGAAAGAAAGAUGUGAAAUCCCAGAGCUUAACUUUGGAACUGCAUUUUUAACUACCGGGCUAGAGUGUGUCAGAGGGAGGUGGAAUUCCGCGUGUAGCAGUGAAAUGCGUAGAUAUGCGGAGGAACACCGAUGGCGAAGGCAGCCUCCUGGGAUAACACUGACGCUCAUGCACGAAAGCGUGGGGAGCAAACAGGAUUAGAUACCCUGGUAGUCCACGCCCUAAACGAUGUCAACUAGCUGUUGGGGGCCUUCGGGCCUUGGUAGCGCAGCUAACGCGUGAAGUUGACCGCCUGGGGAGUACGGUCGCAAGAUU